This 368-nucleotide transfer-messenger RNA is filed under the name Micrococcaceae. RNAcentral describes it as "Specibacter stackebrandtii Standard tmRNA". It matches the Rfam family "transfer-messenger RNA". Rfam says of the family: Bacterial tmRNA, also known as 10Sa RNA or SsrA, is named for its dual tRNA and mRNA-like properties. RNAcentral also lists the same sequence under 1 other name. The record is from RNAcentral. Lineage: Bacteria; Bacillati; Actinomycetota; Actinomycetes; Micrococcales.
GGGGAUGAUCGGUUUCGACGGUGUUCGUCGAGACAGGUGAAGCGGGUCGAGGAUACAGGGUUAUCUCGUAAACGAUCUCUGUAAAACAAUAAGUGCUGAAUCAAAUCGCACUGACUUCGCUCUUGCUGCCUAAGCAGUAAGACAGUCCGUCAGCCCGGGAAUGCUCUCGUCCCGGAUCCUGGCGUCAUUUAGAGGGCCACUGCUCUAAGUUCUUGUUGUAGGCGCUUAGGGGACUUUUAUACAACUGGGCCUGGCAGCUGCUUGUUUGCGAGACAGCUGGGGCCGAGAAAAACCGUACGCAAACUGCACCCGGAGAAGCCCUGACAACACAACAUCGGACGGGAGUUCAAUUCUCCCCAUCUCCACAU